Molecule: long non-coding RNA, 603 nt
Organism: Oreochromis aureus
Lineage: Eukaryota; Metazoa; Chordata; Actinopteri; Cichliformes; Cichlidae
Source: Ensembl
GAGGAAACCAGCGGCUGAACAACAGCAGCACGUUUAAGCUUGAUAAGCUGUUGUUAGAAUGUAUUUAAUAUUACUUUCUACACCAGGAUCCUUUUCUACGCAGCUGACGGCUGGUAACUGUGCAGGGGCGGAUCUAGCAAAGUGUAGCCAGGGGGGCCGAUAGGGCAUUAACAGGGAAAAGGGGGACAUACUUUUCUUUCUUAUUCUCAUUUAAAAUGCCUAGCUUUUAAUAAAUAAUUAUCUGAAUCUUACACCCAAAGUUUUAAUCUGAUGUAAAAUGUAUAGAAGUCCAUUACUGUAUAUAGUAACUGUUAAGUCUAAUAUACCCUAGUAAGCUAUAGUACUUUUUUCUUUGAGAAGGUACCAUCUGUGAAUUCUGCAAUUCUGUUGAAGAAAGAUGUUGAAUCUAUUUAAUUAUUCUUGAAAAAUAAUUUAUUUCUGUGCAUUUUUUUUUCACCCUGCAUCAAAUUAAAGUUGAUUACAUCGAUUAAGCAUCAUGAGGUGGAGGGUGGGGGGUGGUUCCCUAUUUUUUUUUGCUGGGAGUUUGCAACCCUAUUAGUUAGGUUGCUUAAUAUUUCUGCUAAGUACUCUUUAAAAUACCAG